UGGCAAGUCGAGCGGAUGACGGGAGCUUGCUCCUGGAUUCAGCGGCGGACGGGUGAGUAAUGCCUAGGAAUCUGCCUGGUAGUGGGGGACAACGUUUCGAAAGGAACGCUAAUACCGCAUACGUCCUACGGGAGAAAGCAGGGGACCUUCGGGCCUUGCGCUAUCAGAUGAGCCUAGGUCGGAUUAGCUAGUUGGUGGGGUAAUGGCUCACCAAGGCGACGAUCCGUAACUGGUCUGAGAGGAUGAUCAGUCACACUGGAACUGAGACACGGUCCAGACUCCUACGGGAGGCAGCAGUGGGGAAUAUUGGACAAUGGGCGAAAGCCUGAUCCAGCCAUGCCGCGUGUGUGAAGAAGGUCUUCGGAUUGUAAAGCACUUUAAGUUGGGAGGAAGGGCAGUAAGCGAAUACCUUGCUGUUUUGACGUUACCGACAGAAUAAGCACCGGCUAACUCUGUGCCAG
Molecule: ribosomal RNA, 461 nt
Filed under: uncultured bacterium
Lineage: Bacteria
Description: bacterial SSU rRNA
Rfam family: Bacterial small subunit ribosomal RNA
Source: RNAcentral